Microtus ochrogaster (prairie vole) is the source of this 135-nucleotide ribosomal RNA. The record is from Ensembl. Lineage: Eukaryota; Metazoa; Chordata; Mammalia; Rodentia; Cricetidae.
GUCUAUGGCCAUACCACCUUGAACACACCCAAUCUUGUCUGAUCGCAUAAGCUAAGCAGGGUUGGGCCUGGUUAGUAUUUGAAUGGGAGAAAUGAACUUGGGGAUCUUUUCUGAAUUCUCCAGAAGUCACUGGCC